ACGCACGCUGGCGGCGUGCUUCACCCCUGCCAGUCGAACGGAAAGGCCCUGCUUUUGUGGGGUGCUCGAGUGGCGAACGGGUGAGUAACACGUGAGUAACCUGCCCUUGACUUUGGGAUAACUUCAGGAAACUGGGGCUAAUACCGGAUAGGAGCUCCUGCUGCCUGGUGGGGGUUGGAAAGUUUCGGCGGUUGGGGAUGGACUCGCGGCUUAUCAGCUUGUUGGUGGGGUAGUGGCUUACCAAGGCUUUGACGGGUAGCCGGCCUGAGAGGGUGACCGGCCACAUUGGGACUGAGAUACGGCCCAGACUCCUACGGGAGGCAGCAGUGGGGAAUAUUGCACAAUGGGCGGAAGCCUGAUGCAGCAACGCCGCGUGCGGGAUGACGGCCUUCGGGUUGUAAACCGCUUUCGCCUGUGACGAAGCGUGAGUGACGGUAAUGGGUAAAGAAGCACCGGCUAACUACGUG
This 467-nucleotide ribosomal RNA is filed under the name uncultured bacterium. RNAcentral describes it as "partial 16S ribosomal RNA". It matches the Rfam family "Bacterial small subunit ribosomal RNA", at positions 29 to 507 of the family's 1533-position model. The record is from RNAcentral.